AGUGAACGCUGGCGGUAGGCCUAACACAUGCAAGUCGAACGGCAGCACAGUAAUAGCUUUCUCUUACGGUUGUCGAGUGUCGUACGUUUGAUGUAUACAUCGUAAUCUACUUUUUCUUGUGUGUUAACGUAGUGAAACUUACUCUAAUACCUCAUACGACCUACUUUUGAAAUCAUGUGUUCUUCGUACCUUGCGCGAUUGAAUUAGCCGAUGUCGUAUUAGCUAGUUGGCGGGGUAAAGGCCCACCAAGGCGACGAUCCGUAGCUGGUCUGAGAGGAUGAUCAGCAAAAGUGGAACUGAGAAAGGGAAAAGAAACCAACGGGAGGCAGAAGUGGGGAAAAUUGGACAAUGGGCGAAAGACUGAAAAAGAAAUACAGAGAGGGUGAAGAAGGCCUUCGGGUUGUAAAGACCUUUGUUGGGAAAGAAAAGAAGCAGGAUAAUAAAACGAUGUAAUGACGGUAACAAAAGAAUAAGCAACGGCUAACUUCGUG
Molecule: ribosomal RNA, 491 nt
Filed under: uncultured bacterium
Lineage: Bacteria
Description: partial 16S ribosomal RNA
Rfam family: Bacterial small subunit ribosomal RNA
Source: RNAcentral